UAAAUAUUUGAUAUGUACUCCCUUCAUUCCAAAUUAUAAGAUGUUUUGGCUUUUUUAGAUACAUUGCUGUUAUUAUGUAUCAAGACAGCGUAUAUCUAAGUGCAUAGCAAUAGCUAUGUGUCUAGAUAAGACAAAACGUCUUAUAAUUUGGAGCGGAAGGAGUAUGAAGCUGUAUAUUUG
This 180-nucleotide microRNA precursor is filed under the name Sorghum bicolor (sorghum). RNAcentral's name for it is "miR5568g stem-loop (sbi-MIR5568g)". Lineage: Eukaryota; Viridiplantae; Streptophyta; Magnoliopsida; Poales; Poaceae. The record is from miRBase by way of RNAcentral.